Molecule: ribosomal RNA, 1619 nt
Filed under: Staphylococcus aureus
Lineage: Bacteria; Bacillati; Bacillota; Bacilli; Caryophanales; Staphylococcaceae
Description: partial 23S ribosomal RNA
Rfam family: Bacterial large subunit ribosomal RNA
Source: RNAcentral
GCGAAAGACGGGUGAGAAUCCCGUCCACCGAUUGACUAAGGUUUCCAGAGGAAGGCUCGUCCGCUCUGGGUUAGUCGGGUCCUAAGCUGAGGCCGACAGGCGUAGGCGAUGGAUAACAGGUUGAUAUUCCUGUACCACCUAUAAUCGUUUUAAUCGAUGGGGGGACGCAGUAGGAUAGGCGAAGCGUGCGAUUGGAUUGCACGUCUAAGCAGUAAGGCUGAGUAUUAGGCAAAUCCGGUACUCGUUAAGGCUGAGCUGUGAUGGGGAGAAGACAUUGCGUCUUCGAGUCGUUGAUUUCACACUGCCGAGAAAAGCCUCUAGAUAGAAAAUAGGUGCCCGUACCGCAAACCGACACAGGUAGUCAAGAUGAGAAUUCUAAGGUGAGCGAGCGAACUCUCGUUAAGGAACUCGGCAAAAUGACCCCGUAACUUCGGGAGAAGGGGUGCUCUUUAGGGUUAACGCCCAGAAGAGCCGCAGUGAAUAGGCCCAAGCGACUGUUUAUCAAAAACACAGGUCUCUGCUAAACCGUAAGGUGAUGUAUAGGGGCUGACGCCUGCCCGGUGCUGGAAGGUUAAGAGGAGUGGUUAGCUUCUGCGAAGCUACGAAUCGAAGCCCCAGUAAACGGCGGCCGUAACUAUAACGGUCCUAAGGUAGCGAAAUUCCUUGUCGGGUAAGUUCCGACCCGCACGAAAGGCGUAACGAUUUGGGCACUGUCUCAACGAGAGACUCGGUGAAAUCAUAGUACCUGUGAAGAUGCAGGUUACCCGCGACAGGACGGAAAGACCCCGUGGAGCUUUACUGUAGCCUGAUAUUGAAAUUCGGCACAGCUUGUACAGGAUAGGUAGGAGCCUUUGAAACGUGAGCGCUAGCUUACGUGGAGGCGCUGGUGGGAUACUACCCUAGCUGUGUUGGCUUUCUAACCCGCACCACUUAUCGUGGUGGGAGACAGUGUCAGGCGGGCAGUUUGACUGGGGCGGUCGCCUCCUAAAAGGUAACGGAGGCGCUCAAAGGUUCCCUCAGAAUGGUUGGAAAUCAUUCAUAGAGUGUAAAGGCAUAAGGGAGCUUGACUGCGAGACCUACAAGUCGAGCAGGGUCGAAAGACGGACUUAGUGAUCCGGUGGUUCCGCAUGGAAGGGCCAUCGCUCAACGGAUAAAAGCUACCCCGGGGAUAACAGGCUUAUCUCCCCCAAGAGUUCACAUCGACGGGGAGGUUUGGCACCUCGAUGUCGGCUCAUCGCAUCCUGGGGCUGUAGUCGGUCCCAAGGGUUGGGCUGUUCGCCCAUUAAAGCGGUACGCGAGCUGGGUUCAGAACGUCGUGAGACAGUUCGGUCCCUAUCCGUCGUGGGCGUAGGAAAUUUGAGAGGAGCUGUCCUUAGUACGAGAGGACCGGGAUGGACAUACCUCUGGUGUACCAGUUGUCGUGCCAACGGCAUAGCUGGGUAGCUAUGUGUGGACGGGAUAAGUGCUGAAAGCAUCUAAGCAUGAAGCCCCCCUCAAGAUGAGAUUUCCCAACUUCGGUUAUAAGAUCCCUCAAAGAUGAUGAGGUUAAUAGGUUCGAGGUGGAAGCAUGGUGACAUGUGGAGCUGACGAAUACUAAUCGAUCGAAGACUUAAUCAAAA